Non-coding RNA from Lactuca sativa (garden lettuce), 1603 nucleotides. The record is from RefSeq and is a predicted model, not a curated record. NCBI's taxonomy places the organism in Eukaryota, Viridiplantae, Streptophyta, Magnoliopsida, Asterales, Asteraceae.
UUUUGUGGUUUCUAGUAGAAAUCGUAAUUAUAUAUAUACUAAUUGAGAAGCACCACAUGAACAGUUCUCUAUUCUUAUUGGUUGAUUUUUUUUUAGUUUUUUCUAUUUUUUUGAUAAUUUGUCUCCAAUUUUUUUUUAUUUUUUUUAAGUGAAAAGCUGCUGGCUGGGGUUUAAGAGAUUGGGGUUACGUGUGUUACCUUCUAUUUUCCACCUUUGAAACACGUGUCUAUGUUAUGUUUUCCACUACUUAGAUACUUAAUUGAGAAGCACCACAUGAACAGUUCUCUAUUCUUAUUGGUUGAUUUUUUUUUAGUUUUUUCUAUUUUUUUGAUAAUUUGUCUCCAAUUUUUUUUUAUUUUUUUUAAGUGAAAAGCUGCUGGCUGGGGUUUAAGAGAUUGGGGUUACGUGUGUUACCUUCUAUUUUCCACCUUUGGAACACGUGUCUAUGUUAUGUUUUCCACUGCUUAGAUACGUGUCCUUAAGAAGGAUGCUCCGUUUUCAUCGAAAAUCUAUUUUUUUAUUUGCUCUGCAAGCCGGCUCCUCUUCCUUACGACGAACCAUCGUCUCCCAACUUAUCGACUCCCGAUCUCAUUCCUCCUCUCGGUGAAGAACGCUUCCGAAAUAAGGUUUGCCUUAGGGGAAUGGGCUUGACGUUGCUGUUCAUCGUAAUCGUCUGCAUGGAAUAGACAAUUCCAAAUCAAAGGUUCGUUUGCCCCAGUUGGAAACCGGAAUUACUAAACAUUAGGGUAUAAAUAUUAUUUCUGCAAUCAAACAUAGAGCAUGGAUCGAAGGAACCCACCCUAAUGCUUUUCAUUCCUAUCAAAUUCUAUAUGCUAGAAACCAUCUUCACGAGCUACCUGUUGCUUUUGUUACAUUUAGGUCACGUUGGGAUACUGCCCUUCAUUUGUGGAAAGUGAGAUCGUUCCUUCUGCAAUUUGCAUAAUAGGAAUGGCUGUGUCGCUUCCUUCUUCAAGGGCAAACCCUAUUAUAGGAUGAUUUCCACUGGAAACAUCAAAUACUUGGCAGAAAGUAAUUGAAAGUGAAGACUGUAAAGAUAUAUGAAGAAAUACAACAAUGUUGAGGGAUCAAGGAUGAAAACGAGAGAGUAUCAGAGCAUGAUACAGAGAUAUUGGUAGCACCCAUGGAUUUUGCUAAAAAGGCAGAAAUUUACUCAUGAUAUACUUCCACCUGACCCUGAAUGUUCAGAUGAAACGUUGUUAUAACAAUCAGAGGUUAACACUAAAAAGGCAGAAAUUUAGUUCGAUGCCCAAGAUGCUAGAAAGUUCUUCUGGAUCCACCAGAAGGUUCAGGUUGAUCAGAGGGCAGUGAUGUAUACUCAAAAUGUUGCUGGAAGACAUUUGUUGUUGUAGGGUACAUCAUACAAUCCUUUGGUCAAGACCCAUGUACAAAAAACCUCAUGGGUACUCCUAAUUGUUUUGUCGAACUCAGUAGACCUUUGCUGGUAUUCCUUUGAUUAUAGUUGGUAAAGAAGACAUUAGAUCAUAGUUGAAUUUAUCACAUUAUGAUCACUUUGUGAACAACAUUUACUUUUACUAUCUGUUUACGGUUUAGUAAAUAUAUAAGAUACAUCCAUAUUUUGGCA